RNAcentral lists this ribosomal RNA (254 nucleotides) under uncultured bacterium. Its description in RNAcentral is "partial 16S ribosomal RNA". It matches the Rfam family "Bacterial small subunit ribosomal RNA", at positions 524 to 776 of the family's 1533-position model. The record is from RNAcentral.
CACGUAGGGUGCGAGCGUUGUCCGGAAUUAUUGGGCGUAAAGAGCUCGUAGGCGGUUUGUCGCGUCGGCCGUGAAAACCUGUGGCUUAACCAUGGGCUUGCGGUCGAUACGGGCAUCACUGGAGUUCGGCAGGGGAGACUGGAAUUCCUGGUGUAGCGGUGAAAUGCGCAGAUAUCAGGAGGAACACCGGUGGCGAAGGCGGGUCUCUGGGCAGAUACUGACGCUGAGGAGCGAAAGUAUGGGGAGCGAACAGG